Molecule: ribosomal RNA, 501 nt
Filed under: uncultured bacterium
Lineage: Bacteria
Description: partial 16S ribosomal RNA
Rfam family: Bacterial small subunit ribosomal RNA
Source: RNAcentral
AUUGAACGCUGGCGGCAUGCUUUACACAUGCAAGUCGAGCGGGGGAAGGUAGCUUGCUACCGGACCUAGCGGCGGACGGGUGAGUAAUGCUUAGGAAUCUGCCUAUUAGUGGGGGACAACAUCUCGAAAGGGAUGCUAAUACCGCAUACGUCCUACGGUAGAAAGCAGGGGAUCUUCGGACCUUGCGCUAAUAGAUGAGCCUAAGUGGGAUUAGCUAGUGGGUGGGGUAAAGGCCUACCCAGGCGACGAUCUGUAGCGGGUCUGAGAGGAUGAGCCGCCACACUGGGACUGAGACACGGCCCAGAGUCCAACGGGGGGGAGGAGUGGGGAAGAGUGGACAAUGGGGGGAACCCUGAUCCAGCCAUGCCGCGUGUGUGAAGUAGGCCUUAUGGUUGUAAAGCACUUUCAGCGAGGAGGAGGCUACUCUAGUUAAUACCUAGGGAUAGUGGACGUUACUCGCAGAAUAAGCACCGGCUAACUCUGUGCCAGCCGCCGCCGUAA